Molecule: long non-coding RNA, 551 nt
Filed under: Ananas comosus (pineapple)
Lineage: Eukaryota; Viridiplantae; Streptophyta; Magnoliopsida; Poales; Bromeliaceae
Description: long non-coding RNA (ACOM_LNC006878)
Source: RNAcentral
UGUCCAUCGCCUUGGCUAGUUCCUGCGAGACGAGAGACUUCGACCAGAUACUAAUCUGUAAUAUACCGAAUUUUUAAUAUAAAAGUAAGUGUAAAUAAAAAUAGUGUAAGAUACUAUUUUUAUUGGAUUUAGAGAAGUGAAAUAUAAGUCGAAAAUGAUUUAUGCUAAAAUUGGAAUGAAAACAGAAGAUUUAGAAUUUUUUGUAAAAAACGGGGCUGAUAUUUUAACAGAAAAUUCACAGUGUUAGAAAAUUAUGAAAUUUGGAGAGUAUGUCAGAAUUAUUUUUCUGCGGCUACAUUUAAAGUUUCAUGUCAUUCUGACAUCCGAAAAGUAGAAAAUAAAAUCUGACUGCUAUCUAACUGCUAUCUGCUAGAGAUUUUAGUCGGUAGAGUUUUCGGUGACAAAAAAUAGUCCAAACUGAAAAGUUAAAAUAUCAUUCUUAUUAUUAAUUUUAAUCGAGCCUGACUGUCAAAUUUGAGCGUAAACGGACACUCAGAAGGGCUCCGGAGAAAGAUAUCAGAUUCUGAAUUGGGAAUCGUAUUAUAGAAAGA